RNAcentral lists this ribosomal RNA (253 nucleotides) under uncultured bacterium. RNAcentral describes it as "partial 16S ribosomal RNA". It matches the Rfam family "Bacterial small subunit ribosomal RNA", at positions 524 to 776 of the family's 1533-position model. The record is from RNAcentral.
UACGGAGGGGGCUAGCGUUAUUCGGAAUUAUUGGGCGUAAAGGGCGCGUAGGCGGCCCGGUAAGUCAAAGGUGAAAUCCCUCGGCUCAACUGAGGAACUGCCUUUGAAACUGUCGGGCUUGAGGCCGGGAGGGGGUAGCGGAAUUCCCAGUGUAGCGGUGAAAUGCGUAGAUAUCUGGAGGAACACCGGUGGCGAAGGCGGCAUCCUGGACUACUACUGACGCUGAGGAGCGAAAGCCAGGGGAGCAAACGGG